GACGAGCGGCGGACGGGUGAGUAAUGCUUGGGAAACUGCCUGAGAGUGGGGGACAACAGUUGGAAACGACUGCUAAUACCGCAUAAUGUCUUCGGACCAAAGGAGGGGCUCUUCGGACCUUUCGCUUUCAGAUGUGCCCAAGUGGGAUUAGCUAGAUGGUGGGGUAAUGGCCUACCAUGGCGACGAUCCCUAGCUGGUUUGAGAGGAUGAUCAGCCACACUGGGACUGAGACACGGCCCAGACUCCUACGGGAGGCAGCAGUGGGGAAUAUUGCACAAUGGGCGAAAGCCUGAUGCAGCCAUGCCGCGUGUGUGAAGAAGGCCUUCGGGUUGUAAAGCACUUUCAGUUGUGAGGAAGGUGUGUAGGUUAAUACCCUGCGCAUUUGACGUUAGCAACAGAAGAAGCACCGGCUAACUCCGUGCCAGCAGCCGCGGUAAUACGGAGGGUGCGAGCGUUAAUCGGAAUUACUGGGCGUAAAGCGUACGC
This 486-nucleotide ribosomal RNA is filed under the name uncultured Gammaproteobacteria bacterium. Its description in RNAcentral is "bacterial SSU rRNA". It matches the Rfam family "Bacterial small subunit ribosomal RNA", at positions 90 to 572 of the family's 1533-position model. The record is from RNAcentral. Lineage: Bacteria; Pseudomonadati; Pseudomonadota; Gammaproteobacteria.